GAGAGACACAGAUGUUACUAGCAGGCUUUCUGGAUGCCCCACAGAGCUGCUGCCUCAGUGCUUCUCUGUGAAUUAACAUAGUAAAGGCUGUCUUAUGGUCCUGCUGGCAAGAAGGACCAGCGAUGUCCUGAGGAUCCUGAAAUCUCAGUCAUUCAGGGGUGGAUGGGCCUGUUAAUGAGUGAAUCAGUGACUGAUUCGUCUUGUUGUACGUUUGUGAGAUUUCAUGUUCUCAUCAAAAGAAAACAGAACUUCUCUGGUCAGCAGUUCGAGGUCAGCUCCCAUGUGGUAAACUCGGAAGUUCACCAGUUGAUGCAGGAAGUGGAAGCGGGAGCCCACAGAAGAACAGAAGGAGCUUGGUCAGCGUGGUGGGCUACUGCAUCUCACCAGCUCCGGUCAAACCGUACAAGGCUCGAAGUCUUGAAUCAAUCUGUGCGAUUCAUCUGAGCUGAAUGCGCUCGAGCAGCUUAACGUAAAGAGUCGACUCAUCAGAACGAUUCGUUGAUGAAUCGACUCACCGGAGUCUUCAGGUGGAGCUGCCGAGCCUCCUCGUCGGUGGAAGAAUAGGCCCAAUUUCUUGGCUUUUCCUGGUGUGGAAUCCAGUCACUGACCUGUGGAUAUCAGAAAGAGACAGAUGGCCAAGUCCAUUGAAAACGAUGAAUACACAGUUGACAGUCCAGAUCUGGAUGUACAUGUGGAGGGUGCGAAUUUGAAGUAUUUGGAAUUUGAUGACGACAGGCAGCGGAUGAGUGAUAUUGGAGUUAAGAUGAAGUUUCUAUGUGAUGAGAUUGAAGUGCAGCCGUACGCUAAUGACGACGGAAUGUGGAAAUCGCUCUACCAAACGCUGGAAAUAGGAAUGAAUUCCUUCAAGAACCUGUUCACACAGUCAGGGAUGUCCGAUGUCCAGCCAAUGGUGAGGUCAGAGACGGCAAGCCUGACCUCCAGAGCGAGCCCACAGAACAGCGGUGCAGAAUGGAGGUCAAGAACUGUUUGUUUAUCCUGCUCUAGUGUGAAGGCUGCUAUUCAGGACAAGACAGAAUGGAAGCUCAUUGAACCUGUCGCUAUGGCUACUCUACUAAAUGAAGACAUAAAGUACAGGAUCUCUGUUGCACCAGGGAGAUAUGAGUGCACAGUCACUGGUCUUUGUUGGGAAAACUCUGAUGAAGUUGAAAUGGAAUAUCAUUUGAGUGACUGGGAUCAUGUUCGUGAAUUUCUGGAAAAGUACAAUUUUCAGCCCUGUGGUCCGUUACUGGAUGUUACUGUCAUCUCAGGGGAGCUCACUGCUGUCCAUCUACCACACUUUCUCUGUUUAGGUAAAGUAAUCUUCAAAUAA
Long non-coding RNA from Pygocentrus nattereri (red-bellied piranha), 1330 nucleotides. The record is from Ensembl. Lineage: Eukaryota; Metazoa; Chordata; Actinopteri; Characiformes; Serrasalmidae.